Molecule: long non-coding RNA, 610 nt
Organism: Scylla paramamosain (green mud crab)
Lineage: Eukaryota; Metazoa; Arthropoda; Malacostraca; Decapoda; Portunidae
Exons: 4
Source: RefSeq, a predicted model, not a curated record
CAGGAGUGUGAGGAUAAGGCGACUGGGCACUGAGGUCCAGGCUGGAGGCAGCACAUCCCCAAGGCUGCCUUCCAAACCCAGCAGGGCACUCAUCACAUACAGGAACCCACCCACCUUGCGAAACACUGUCCUUGUCCGCUCUGUAGGGGGAGCAGAAUGGAGGAGACCAAGCAAAGAGCCCAUGUCAUCAUCACUCCCACUUGCGAGCACAAGUUGUUGCAUCACUCCUACAUUGCAUACACCAAUCAAUAUUGGUUAGACAAGAUCAAAGUGAAUGAUACUUGACACUUUCUAAGGUUUAUGCAUCAUCCCUUGGCUGGUUCUGCAUUGCCCUAACCACAAAAAAAAUAGAUUGAGACCACUCACCAAGAGCCUGUGAACGACACUCCAGGAAAGGGACAAGAGCAACAGCACAUUUGGCACCUCCAGAUUCCCUAAAGACAGCAGCAUUUUGGCUGUUGCCUGAGAGGAGUUCUGCAACAUCAAUUUAUACAUGAGAAGCUUACCUUCACUUGCAGCAACUUGUUGUGGUUUUGACUUGAGCAGUUCAUGGUACCUGCUUAGGCAAGUGACCAGCACCUCCAACAGACCCACCUCUCUGUAUACAUCC